Molecule: ribosomal RNA, 468 nt
Filed under: uncultured bacterium
Lineage: Bacteria
Description: partial 16S ribosomal RNA
Rfam family: Bacterial small subunit ribosomal RNA
Source: RNAcentral
GACGAACGCUGGCGGCGCGCCUAACACAUGCAAGUCGAACGGAGCUGAGAGAAGCUUGCUUUUCUUAGCUUAGUGGCGAACGGGUGAGUAACGCGUGAGUAACCUGCCCUGGAGUGGGGGACAACAGUUGGAAACGACUGCUAAUACCGCAUAAGCCCACGAUCCGGCAUCGGAUUGAGGGAAAAGGAUUUAUUCGCUUCAGGAUGGACUCGCGUCCAAUUAGCUAGUUGGUGAGGUAACGGCCCACCAAGGCGACGAUUGGUAGCCGGACUGAGAGGUUGAACGGCCACAUUGGGACUGAGACACGGCCCAGACUCCUACGGGAGGCAGCAGUGGGGGAUAUUGCACAACGGGGGAAACCCUGAUGCAGCGACGCCGCGUGGAGGAAGAAGGUUUUCGGAUUGUAAACUCCUGUCGUGAGGGACGAUAAUGACGGUACCUAACAAGAAAGCACCGGCUAACUACGUG